Long non-coding RNA from Rosa chinensis, 6244 nucleotides. RefSeq lists it as uncharacterized. NCBI's taxonomy places the organism in Eukaryota, Viridiplantae, Streptophyta, Magnoliopsida, Rosales, Rosaceae. The transcript is spliced from 3 exons. The record is from RefSeq and is a predicted model, not a curated record.
UGUCGGAGUAUGGUACGUCCGCUCCUCCCUGUCUCCUACUUCACAUACAAUGCUAGCUAUACAAUACUCGUAAGAUUUUAGAUUGGAUAUGGGGUCCCAGAUAUGAUUUUGGAUUGGUAGCCAAGGAUUCGUUUUAUCCAAAUCCUUCCUCCAUCUCUAUAAAAGUGCCCCACUCGAAAGCUCAUAUAGUGCUGUAUAACAGUGUAAGCUUCAGCUAACAUAAAGUAAAUUUAUUCUAUCAGGCCUUCCUUAUCAUCAGUUGCUCACAUAAUAUAUGCAGUAGGAGCCAAAACUGUAUUAUUUAACAUGCUGCAGGUUAGUAGUUCAAGCUUCAGAGGAUAAUAAGCUCGAGUUAUGGAGCAUUCCAACAAUCGCUCCACCGAGAGAAGGUUAAGUUCACCUUAAGUUUGAAAAUAUCAAGUUCGGGCCUUUGUACGAUAAAAGAACAUUUUCAAAUUUUAUAAAGGGCCGGAUGGGGUUCGAACGUCUCACUGCUCGUGCCUCUCUUGAUGCUUAACCACUGGCAAUACAGAUUUUUCGGUGAGGCUGGCAAUUCAUCAGUUGUUACACAGUAAAGUAGCUAUAGUUGCUUCCACUCGACAAAAGUAAAGAACCAUUUUUUCUUCCUCUGCUGCGUUUCUGGCCUUCCUUAUCAUCAGUUGCUCAUCUAAUAUAUGAGCUGGAGCCGAAACUGUAUUAUUUUAACAAGCUGCGGGUUAGUAGUUCAAGCUUCAGAGGAUAAUAAGCUCGAGUUAUGGAGCAUUCCAACAAUCGCGCCACCGAGAGAAGGUUGAGGUUAGUUUUCCUCCGGUACUAUAUUACUUAAUUUUUUUUGUAUCUGCAGUAAUUUUUUAUUUUAUUUCACCAGUAAAACUUCAUUAUUUCAUCAAAUGUUUGUUCUACUUUUGAUGAUCACGUCUGGGUUACCCACAAAUUUUCUUCAGGACGUUAAACAAAGACAUACCACCCAUUGUGUAUUUAAUUUAUUGUUCAUGGCUGAGAUACCAAGAGACAUAAAGAAAAAGAACACUGUAGAAAACCAAAGGAACACCACGCCUCAUGUCCUGCUGCAAAUUCAAAAACAAUAAUUGGUGGGGCCCAGCUCAUAAUCAUUAGAUUAGUAUAAUUCUUUGUUUUCUUACCGCAAGUUCACCAGAUAUAAUUCUUUGUUUUCUUAAAACAAGUUCACCAGUUGGGGGUAAAGGUCAAGGUUACUGGGUUACUGGAUCAAGACACUGUUCACUGCCACUGGACAUGUGUUUCCACCAGUUCUGUUUCUUGACAUGGUAGUUACUGUUCAUUGAAUUUUUUUAUUUUAUUUAUUAUAAAAUUGAUAUAUAAUUGAUUUAAAUAGAUGGUAAUUAUGGACAUUUAUAGAUAAUUGAUUAGAAUGGAUAACAACAUUUGUCGAAGAGUAGCUUGAUUUGGCAUUCGGUGUCAAAAUUGUGAUUGCUAUAGCUUUUCGGAAAGGGAAUGACACUAGGAAGAGAACUCGUUGUUUCGCCACGAUGUGUGGGUUUAUCGGGCUUUUGGGAUUAUUUUGGGCCUCAAAACUGCAAUUUACUAUUUUUCUAAUAUUUUCGGUGGACAAAUUAUGAGCCACCUACAUUUAUUGACAAUUUUUCUUGAAAUGGGUGAAGCAACCACCGACAAUUUUUUUUAAAAAGAUUGAAACAACCACCGACAACAUUGAACGAACCAGAUCAUUUGCAUACUAUUCAAUCUAACGGUUAUUGUGAAUGUAAUCUUAUCUAAGAUUUUGGAUCAAAUUAUAUAGAAGUAGGUGUCGACACGUGUCUUUAUCAUCUGAUCACAUUUGAUGGGAAAAAUGUCAAUAAAUAGAGAAAGAGCCAACACUCUAUUCACACAAUCUGAUAUUGACAAAUCUCUUCCUUUUUCAUAUCUCCGGAAUUAACACAUUUCCUUUCUUUCUCUUAUUUCAACGAAAAUAUUGUGGGCUAAGAUUCGAUAGUCUCGAGAUGAAGAUUAUGAAGAGAUGUGUACGACUAAUGCCAUUGUGAUCGUAGCAGUCACUGAAGCUGAAUCUGGUAAUCAAACACAACAAUGGGGUUCUUGACCGGGUCAUGCACCGAAUGUGGAGCGAUUUAGGGAAGCAAGAGGCAAAAACAUGAUGGAAGAUUACCUUGUUGAAUGUCCAGUUUUCAAUGAUGAGGAAUUCCGAACACGCCACAGGAUGAGUCACAAUGUUUUCAACCACAUCUCCGGUGACCUUUGCCGCUAUGAUCAGUACUUUGUCCAGAAAUCAGAUGUUGCUAAGAAAGUCGGACUACUUCCGGAGUAGAAAAUGACAUUUUCCUUACGAAUGCCUAUUUACGGUGCUGGCAUAGAUCAAUGCGUUGAGUAUUUUCGGAUGGCGAAAUCUACCUCCAUCGAGGCUUUUCAACGAUUUACAAGAGGAGUCGUUAAUCUGUACUCGGCAGAAUACCUUCGCGCUCCUACUCAGGCCGAUCUCAGAAGACUGCUCGCCAAAGCUGAGAGAAGAGGUUUUCCUGGAAUGAUUGGAAGCAUCGACUGCAUGCAUUGACAAUGGAAGAAUUGCCCAACCGGUUGGGCUGGAGAAUACAACGGUCGAAAACGUAUCCCAACUAUCAUCCUCGAAGUAGUCGCAUCGUACUACACAUUGAUAUGGCACGCCUUCUUUGGAAUGUUCGGGGCAUGCAACGACCUCAAUGUCCUGGCAAAGUCCCCAUUGUUUGACGAGCUUACUGCUGGUCGAGCACCUCAGAUCCAAUUUCAAGUGAAUAACAUAAUUCACAAUUUAGGUUACUAUUUCGCUGACGGUAUCUAUCUUAGAUGAGCAACUUUCGUGAAAUCAAUUCCAAGGCCUACUCGACCUAAGGAUCUGAAGUUUUUCCAAGCUCAAGAGGGGUACAGGAAGGAUGUGGAAAGAUGUUUUGGUAUGUUACAAUCGCGCUUUAGUAUUAUUAGAGGAGCUGCUCGUGAAUGGGAUAGAGAAGACCUUCUAUACAUCAUGUUAACUUGUAUUAUAUUACACAACAUGAUAAUCGAAGAUGAAAGACUAGAGGAUAGCGAUGAGAAAUUAGAGUCCGAUGAAGAAGAGGAGAACAAUAUGAGGCCCAGGUUGGCUACGGUUUGGGAUGGACCGACCGAUGAUGACUUUGAUCCUGUUGGUAGAGAUGGUUAUUAUUUCAACGGAUUUAUGGAUCGAUAUGAUGCCAAUGGUACAAGAGCGGUUUGAAUAAUGACCAUCUCUACCAACAGGAUCAAAGUCAAUCACCGGUCGGUCCUUCCCAAACCGUAGCCAACCUAGGCCUUAUAUUGUUUUUCUCUUCUUCAUCGGACUCCAAUUCCUCAUCGCUGUCCUCUAGUCUUUCAUCCUUGACUAUCAUGUUGUGUAAUAUAAUAUAAGUCAACAUGAUGUAUCGAAGGUCUUCUCUAUCCCACCCACGAGCAGCUCCUCUAACAAUUCUAAAGCGCGACUAUAAAAUACCAAAACAUUUUUCCACAUCCUUCCUGUGCCCCUCUUGAGCUUGAGAAAACUUCAGAUCAUUGGGUCGAGUAGGCCUUGGAAUUGAUUUCACGAAAGUCGCCUAUCUAAGAAAGAUACCAUCAGCGAGAUAGUAACCUAAAUUGUGAAUUAUGUUAUUCACUUGAAAUUGGAUAUGAGGUGCUCGACUAGUAGUAAGCUCGUCAAACAACGAGGACUUUGCCAAGACGUUGAGGUCGUUGCAUGCCUCGGGCAUUUCAAAGAAGGCGUGCCAUAUCCAUGUGUUGUACGAUGCGACUACUUCGAGGAUGAUAGUAGGGAUACGUUUUCGACCUCUGUAUUCUCCAGCCCAACCAGUUGGGCAAUUCUUCCAUUGCCAAUGCAUGCAGUCGAUGCUUCCAAUCAUCCCAGGAAAAUCUCUUCUCUCAGCUUUGGCCAGCAGUCUUCUAAGGUCGGCCUGAGUAGGAACGCGGAGGUAUUCUGCCGAGUACAGAUUAACGAUUCCUCUUGUAAAUCGUUGAAAAGCCUCGAUAGAGGUAGAAUUCGCCAUCCGAAAAUACUCGGCGCAUUGAUCUGCUCCAGCACUGUAAGCAAGCAUUCGUAAGGAACAUGUCAGCUUCUGCUCCAGAAGUAGUUCGAUUUUUUUGGCAGCAUAUGAUUUCUGGACAAAGUACCGGUCAUAGUGACAAAGGUCAUCAGAGAUGCGGUUGAAAACAUUGUGACUCAACCUAUACCGUGUUCUGAAUUCCUCAUCAUUGAAAAUUGGACGUUCAACAAAGUAAUCUUUCAUCAUUUUUUUGCCUCUUGCUUCCCUAAAUCGUUCCUCGUUCGAUGCACGACCCGUCGAGAACUCCGUCGUCGUGUUUGAUUACCAGAUUCAGCUUUAGUGAUUGCUGCGAUCACAAUGACAUUAGUUGUACACAUCUCUUCAUCUCGAGACUGUCGAAUCUUAGCCCAUAAUUUCUUCAUUGAAAUGAAAGAAGGAAAGGAAAUGUGUUAAUUAAUUCGAGAGAUAUGAAAAAGGAGGAGAUUUGCCAAUAUCAAAUUGUGUGUGAAUGGAGUGCUGCAUCUUUCUCUCUUUAUUGACAUUUUCCCCAUCAAACGUUAUCAUAUGAUAAGGACACGUGUUGACACCUACUUCUAUGUAAUAUGAUCCAAAAUCUUAGAUAAGAUUACAUUUACAGUAACCGUUAAAUAGAAUAGUAUGCAAAUGAUCUAGUUCGUUCAAAGUUGUCGGUGGUUGUUUCAUUCUUUUCAAAAAAAAUUAUCGGUGGUUGCUUCACCCAUUUCCAGAAAAAUUGUCAGUAAAUGUAGGUGGUUCAUAAUUUGUCCACUGAAAAUAUUAGAAAGAUAGUAAUAAAUUGCAGUUUUGAGGCCCAAAACUAUCCCGAAAAACCCCAUACUCAUGGCAAAGAGACAAUUUCUCUUCCUAUUGUCAUUCCCUUUCCGAAAAGCUAUAGCAAUCACAAUUCUUACACCGAAUGCCAAAUUGGAAGCAAACUGAAUGCCAAAUCAAGCUACUCUUCGACAAAUGUUGCCAUACGUUUUACAUCAGUUAUCCAUAAAUGUCCAUAAUUAUCAUAUAUUUACAUCAAAUAUAUUUCAAUAAUUUUUUUUUCAAUGAAAAGUAACUGCCAUGUCAAGAAGCAGAACGGGUGGAAAUACAUGUCUAGUGGCAGUGAAUAGUGUCUUGACCCAGUGACCUUGACCUUUACCUCCAAUGGGUGAAUUGGCUCUUAGGGUCAAUGCAAGCCAAAAAAAAAAAAAAAAAGAUUGAGUUUGAGAUAAAGUCAAAAGCUGCAUCAGAUCGGUUGGAAAAAGCAAAACUAAAGUUUUGAGGAUCUCAUGUCUACAAAAAUUAACAUAAGAUUUCAAGCGAAGUGGACGACCAAGUGUGUCUUGUCCAAGCCUGCCUAUGACAUUGAUUUUGUGUUUGUUUUUUAAUGUUUGUUUCCUUGCAUCAGAUCUCUAGGUCAUGACACGGUUUAUUUAAUUUGUUUAUUGUAAAUGAGAAAUAUAUUAUGUAAAUAAAUAGUAAUGAUAAACAUUUUUGGAAAACCUAUCAACAAAGUCAAUAAGUAAUGGUUGCACGCGGGGACGGGAGUGUGGUGGUUGUUUGGCUGCUCUAUUUUUUAUGUUUUUUUCCUUGCAUCAGAUCUCUAGGUCAUGCAUGACACGAUUCAUUUAAUUUAUUUAUUAUAAAAGAAAUAUAUUAUGUAAAUAAAUAGUAAUGAUGAACAUUUUUGGGAAAACCUAUCGACAAAGUCAAUUAGUAAUUUAGGUGAAGGAAAAAAAGGCACUGAAAUUUUUUUUUGGCUAGACAAAUUAUGAGCCACCAACACUUUUAUUAUUCAAACAACCAAUGUCAAUUUUUUUCAAAAGUGGGAAGCAAUGAUGGACAACUUUGAACGAACUAAAUCACUCGCACACUAUUUAAUCUGACGGUAAUUGUCUAUGUAAUUUUAUCUAACAUUUUGGAUAAGAUUACAAAGAUUGUAAUGUUGACAUGUGUCAUUAUCAACUUAUCAUGUUUUGUAUGAAAAAUGUCAAUAAAUAGAGGAAAUUUAUGCACUUCAUUCACUCACAAUCUAAUUUUAGCAAAUCUUUAUCUUUUUCAUAUAUCUAGCAUUACACAUUUCAUCUUAUUCGCUCAUUUCAAUAAAGAGGUGGUUGAAUAAAAUUACAAAGUCCUAGGAUGAAGAUGAUGAAGUAAUGAUGACCAAUAAUGUCAUUGUGAUCGAAGUAGUUGCUGAAUCUACAAAACCAUACUCAAAU